Molecule: unclassified non-coding RNA, 373 nt
Filed under: soil metagenome
Description: partial contains 5.8S ribosomal RNA, internal transcribed spacer 2, and large subunit ribosomal RNA
Rfam family: 5.8S ribosomal RNA (bases 1-120)
Source: RNAcentral
GAUGAAGAACGUAGCGAAAUGCGAUAAGUAAUGUGAAUUGCAGAAUUCAGUGAAUCAUCGAAUCUUUGAACGCACAUUGCGCCCGCCAGUAUUCUGGCGGGCAUGCCUGUUCGAGCGUCAUUACAACCCUCAAGCCCCCCGGCUUGGUGUUGGGGACCGGCCACCGGUGCCCUGCUGCUUCCGCGGCAGGCGCACCCGGCCGCCCCCGAAAUGAAUUGGCGGCCCCGUCGCGGCCCCCCUCUGCGUAGUAGCACACAUCUCGCAGCUGGAGCGCGGCGCGGCCACUGCCGUAAAACGCACCAACUUUUUUUACAGUUGACCUCGAAUCAGGUAGGAAUACCCGCUGAACUUAAGCAUAUCAAUAAGCGGAGGA